This is a non-coding RNA of Pelobates cultripes (western spadefoot toad), 382 nucleotides long. The record is from the annotation of a GenBank genome assembly. NCBI's taxonomy places the organism in Eukaryota, Metazoa, Chordata, Amphibia, Anura, Pelobatidae.
AUUCAGUUUGCCUGUGCCAUGUCCAUGGUUCUGGAACCCUGGCAAAAGACACACACAGACGUAGUCCUGUAACCAUAUGUUGAUGAUCUACUUCUCUGUGCUGCUGAUCUCCAAACUGCUGAACGAGUUUCUGAGGAUCUCCUUUGCUUCUUAGCUGAAGAAGGCUGCAAGGCCUCUAAAUCAAAGCUUCAAUGGUGCCGGCCCUCAGUGGUCUUCUUGGGACAUUGUCUUUCCCAUGGCACCCGUCACCUUACCAAGGACUGGAUCUUAGCCAUUUUGAAUUUACCAAUUCCUUCUGCUCAUCAAUCUCUCCAUGCCUUUCUAGGCCUCACUACGUAUUGCAGAUCCUGGAUUCCUGAAGCUUCUCAACUGAUGAUGCAAC